RNAcentral lists this ribosomal RNA (461 nucleotides) under Salmonella enterica subsp. enterica serovar Albany. RNAcentral describes it as "bacterial LSU rRNA". It matches the Rfam family "Bacterial large subunit ribosomal RNA", at positions 80 to 580 of the family's 2925-position model. Lineage: Bacteria; Pseudomonadati; Pseudomonadota; Gammaproteobacteria; Enterobacterales; Enterobacteriaceae. The record is from RNAcentral.
GGUAAGGUGAUAUGAACCGUUAUAACCGGCGAUACCCGAAUGGGGAAACCCAGUGUGACUCGUCACACUAUCAUUAACUGAAUCCAUAGGUUAAUGAGGCGAACCGGGGGAACUGAAACAUCUAAGUACCCCGAGGAAAAGAAAUCAACCGAGAUUCCCCCAGUAGCGGCGAGCGAACGGGGAGGAGCCCAGAGCCUGAAUCAGCAUGUGUGUUAGUGGAAGCGUCUGGAAAGGCGCGCGAUACAGGGUGACAGCCCCGUACACAAAAGCGCAUGUGCUGUGAGCUCGAUGAGUAGGGCGGGACACGUGGUAUCCUGUCUGAAUAUGGGGGGACCAUCCUCCAAGGCUAAAUACUCCUGACUGACCGAUAGUGAACCAGUACCGUGAGGGAAAGGCGAAAAGAACCCCGGCGAGGGGAGUGAAAAAGAACCUGAAACCGUGUACGUACAAGCAGUGGGAGC